AAAGAAAUAAAGUGUUCAUCUUUUAACAUCUUUGGCCGAAAAUUCUAAGAAGAAAGGGGAAGGGGAAACAAACAUUCGGCCACUCCUUCUAGUCUUGAAUAAGGUAUGUAAUUCAUGGUAGCUUUUGAAAUUGUUGAAUGUAUUAAGCUAGAUACUAAGUCCCUUAGUUACCCCAUGUCCAAAUUUUGAAUCUUGUUGGUAACAUGAGUAAUCGGUUAAGAGAAAAUGUUCAAGA
RNAcentral lists this long non-coding RNA (235 nucleotides) under Gossypium barbadense (sea-island cotton). Its description in RNAcentral is "long non-coding RNA (GBAR_LNC005227)". The record is from RNAcentral. Lineage: Eukaryota; Viridiplantae; Streptophyta; Magnoliopsida; Malvales; Malvaceae.